AUGCGACCCUACAAAUGUCCGACCAUUUUCACGACCAACUACACCAACUUCCCAAAGGGCGCGGAGUUUGCCGAUAUCUUUGACAUCGUGGGUGGCAGCCUCUUUACCAUCGACGGUGAGCCGUCUCAUCAACAGCGCGCAAAAGUCAAGGGCGCGCUCAGCAACCCGCGGAUGGCUGCCACUAUGGCGGCCUGCUGCUGUGACAAGGUGGAGAACGGCCUCCUCCCGUUUUUUAGGCGAAUGGCGAGCACUGGCACUCCAUUUGACGUGCAAGAACUGAUGUCAAGGUUUAUGUUUGACCUGGCUGCUAUGCCUUUCUUUGGCGUGGAUCCUGGCCUCCUGUCCUCGGAAAUGCUACAAGACAGGCUGCACAUGGACGCUGCGGUUGCCCUUGACACGUUCAUGGAGGUGGGAUUUUCCCUGCUCAUGACACCAAGUUCUUAUUGGAAGUUGAUGAGGUGGCUAAACAUUGGCCCUGAGAGAAAGCUCAAAGUGGCGCGCACGGUGCUACGGGAGUUCGCCGCGGAGAUGAUGGAGAGGAGGAAGAUGAAUACGUGUUUUGUUGGUAAUGAAGAUGAACAAGAGGAUGGGGAUAUCUUGUCUUGCUUCCUCAAUGACCCAGACUACGCCGAUGAUGACUUGCUCCGUGCGAUGAUCAUUGGCUACAUGUUCGCUGCUAGGGAUACAGUUGGAACAACCCUGACAUGGAUCUUCUACAAACUCGCCCAGAACCCUAACAUUGUUUCGAAUAUCCGAAAAGAACUCUCACCCAUUGCAUCACGCAAAGCAGCGGUUGGUGUGGAUGCCAUGUUGAUCUUUGAGCCAAAAGAGACCAGAUCUCUAGUAUAUUUGAAAGCCGUCCUGUACGAGACUCUCAGGCUAUACCCAGCAGCGCCUCUUGAGUGCAAGACAGUAGUCGCCGAUUAUAUCAUGCCAAGUGGACAUGAGGUUCAUGCCGGCGACACCAUUAUUAUUUCUAUACACUCCAUGGGGAGAAUGGAGGGUGCGUGGGGUGAAGAUUGCCUCCAUUAUAAACCAGAUAGGUGGCUCUCGGUGGGUGGCAAUAACAUGAGGUAUGUACCAUCUCACAAAUUCUUGGCCUUCAACUCAGGCCCGAGGAUGUGCCUCGGCAAGGACAUCGCAAUUAUGCAGAUGAAGACAGUCAUCGCAUCAACGCUAUGGAACUUCGAUGUGGAGGUGAUGGACGGGCAAACAAUCCAGCCCAAGCAAGCUUGUAUACAACAGAUGAAAAAUGGGCUCAUAGUUAAGCUAAAGAAGCGGGAAAUGUAA
RNAcentral lists this ribosomal RNA (1290 nucleotides) under Triticum aestivum (bread wheat). Its description in RNAcentral is "partial small subunit ribosomal RNA". Lineage: Eukaryota; Viridiplantae; Streptophyta; Magnoliopsida; Poales; Poaceae. The record is from RNAcentral.